This 1000-nucleotide ribosomal RNA is filed under the name Acinetobacter lwoffii. RNAcentral's name for it is "bacterial SSU rRNA". It matches the Rfam family "Bacterial small subunit ribosomal RNA", at positions 32 to 1028 of the family's 1533-position model. The record is from RNAcentral. Lineage: Bacteria; Pseudomonadati; Pseudomonadota; Gammaproteobacteria; Moraxellales; Moraxellaceae.
GGCAUUGCGGGCAGGCUACACAUGCAGUCGAGCGGGCGAGGUUGCUUCCGGUAACUGAGCUAGCGGCGGACGGGUGAGUAAUGCUUAGGAAUCUGCCUAUUAGUGGGGGACAACAUCUCGAAAGGGAUGCUAAUACCGCAUACGUCCUACGGGAGAAAGCAGGGGACCUUCGGGCCUUGCGCUAAUAGAUGAGCCUAAGUCGGAUUAGCUAGUUGGUGGGGUAAAGGCCUACCAAGGCGACGAUCUGUAGCGGGUCUGAGAGGAUGAUCCGCCACACUGGGACUGAGACACGGCCCAGACUCCUACGGGAGGCAGCAGUGGGGAAUAUUGGACAAUGGGGGGAACCCUGAUCCAGCCAUGCCGCGUGUGUGAAGAAGGCCUUUUGGUUGUAAAGCACUUUAAGCGAGGAGGAGGCUACCGAGAUUAAUACUCUUGGAUAGUGGACGUUACUCGCAGAAUAAGCACCGGCUAACUCUGUGCCAGCAGCCGCGGUAAUACAGAGGGUGCAAGCGUUAAUCGGAUUUACUGGGCGUAAAGCGCGCGUAGGUGGCCAAUUAAGUCAAAUGUGAAAUCCCCGAGCUUAACUUGGGAAUUGCAUUCGAUACUGGUUGGCUAGAGUAUGGGAGAGGAUGGUAGAAUUCCAGGUGUAGCGGUGAAAUGCGUAGAGAUCUGGAGGAAUACCGAUGGCGAAGGCAGCCAUCUGGCCUAAUACUGACACUGAGGUGCGAAAGCAUGGGGAGCAGACAGGAUUAGAUACCCUGGUAGUCCAUGCCGUAAACGAUGUCUACUAGCCGUUGGGGCCUUUGAGGCUUUAGUGGCGCAGCUAACGCGAUAAGUAGACCGCCUGGGGAGUACGGUCGCAAGACUAAAACUCAGAUGAAUUGACGGGGGCCCGCACAAGCGGUGGAGCAUGUGGUUUAAUUCAAUGCAACGCGAAGAACCUUACCUGGUCUUGACAUAGUAGAAGCUUUCCAAAUAUGCAUUGGUGCCUUCGGGAACU